UCGCUGGCUCGCUGGCCGUCUGCCCGCCCGCCAGCAGCCUGGGGGUUCGGUCCCGGGCCCUCUCAGGCCCCGCGGUCUCCGACUCUCGGGCCCCGGUGUCCGUAUUUAUAGGUGCGCGCGCCCCGCGCUCGCGCUCCGAAGCGCUCUUUGCAAAAACACUGUAUCACGUGUGGGGAAUGAAACCUGGGAGGAAAACAAAGCCGCAGGCGGCAGCCGCGGAGGCUGGCGGCCGGAGGCGGGGGGCCGGAGGAGGAGGAAGAGGAGGAGGAAGGGAAAGCCAAGCGGGUGGCGGGGCGAGGGACCGGCCGGGCAGUCCAGGUAGUCCGAGCCGACUGCGGGGAGAGUUGGUGGCUCCCAGGGCGCGCGCCCAGACUGAGGAUGCAGCCCCUGAUUUAAAUGCAUACCCGAGGAUGCGUAAGAACCCAGGAGCGAACAUCAAACGUGUGGCCAGACUAAUUGACACAUCUCCAUUUGAUGGUGCUGUCACUUUUCAUCUUUCUUAGCAAAGGCCAACAUAAAUUUUUACUUCGACCCAGAAACGUGCUCCGUUUUCCAUGAAGAACAAGGAAGAAGAGAAUGAUGUCUCCUUCAUCUCAACCUAUAAGGCUCGCUUCAAAUGAUACUUUCUCCACAGACCCUCCCUGACUUCCACUGUGUGAACACUGAGUUUUUCCCCCAUCUCACAAGACGCUGCCCCCGUUCCUCCUUUUCCUGGAUUGGAGUCAGGACACUGGGGUCUCAUCCAUGUUCUGCAAUGAAUUUCCCUGGUAGCAGCCCCGUGCUCGUGGCUCAUCUGACUGCAGGGUGAUGGCUGGUGAAUACAGACAGAAUGCAAGCACCUGGAUUCGCUAUCAAAUAAUUGGGUGUUAUCUGGUCAGGUAAGACAAGCAUACCCCUGACCCCUGACCCACCACUCCUAAACAAUUACAGACACCAGCUUUAGGGAUGUUAACUCAGGGACAGGCUUGUGAAUUGAAUGUGGCUGGUUACUCAGAAGGGUUUGGUGGGGGCCUGAGGCAGCGGCAAAAUAAUGAAAGGGUACUCUUGGGCUUCUGGUCCCAGCUGUGGAAGGGGGCAGAGCAACGAUACCGUGUGAUGGAACAACAGCUCUGUGCUGACAAUGCGUUACAGCAGGUGGAGGGCAUUACAAAAGGCCUACCUGAGUCAUUGAGCAACACACAAAAACCCACUAUCUGGGGUCUAAAACAGCUGUGUACGACAUAUGGGACCCCACCGUGGACAUCGAUAGUGACCAAGGAACUCACUUUACUGGCCAUGAAGUUCAGGAAUGAGCCGAUUAAGAAUGACGUACACUGGCGUUUCCUUAUUACCCCACUGCUGCUGGGCUAUGACCGGACUACUUAACAACUGAGAUGGAAAACUGGCUCUCUCAACGUGUGACACAUCCCAGGAGCAAUUGUCCCAGUGCCUACACCAUGAUAACCCAGAAGCAACUAGUCAACACAAGCCAAGUUCACCUGUUGGCCACUGAAGGACCAUUGCCAGCUAUUGGUCAGGACAGUAACUUACUUUUGCCCUUGCCACAGGGUCUGUCCCCAGGAACACGUUAUAAAAUGGCCCUGGGACUGGCAGGUAAGUCCCCGGUGGUUUGCUUUUCCUGCCCCAUGAGGAAUAGGAUUCGAAAGGGACUUAAGAGAUUUCACCUGUCUUCUACCCAGCCCCACCUGAGACUGCUGAAACAAUCCAGGCCCCCUACUGGAGAAAGGCACCAUUAUAUUAGCCUGUGGUCAGUUGUUAUACCACCUCUCCAGCGUUCGGCACCGGCUCUGAGGACUGAGGGUGGGCAAGCGGUGUACUACUGCAGGCCAGGACGUGGCGGCAGAGGAAAUGUUACCUCAGAAUGCUGUUACUGCUUGUCGUUUGCUUAAUGGUCAUGACCUUCCCUGUAUGGUGCCUGUUAAAACAUCUUACAUUUUGUCCCUAGUCUGAAUGGAGGGAAUCUGUUUGUGGACUGGGCAACACUGGGGGCCUCACUGCGAAAUGAGUUUGAUUGCUGGAACUACAGCGAGAUGCUGUUGUUGUCCUCUGGAAUUCCAUGAAAAUUUGACCUGAUGAGCUGCCUGGCUCUAAAGUUUGCCCACCUCUUGCACUCCUGAUGCUCUUUAGCUUCUGUUGUCUGUAUUGCAUUUGCGGUAUUUGGUUGCAGGGCACCACUACGUACCUGACCCCAGGGAUAUCUCGGAAGAGGGGUGAACCAAGAUUGUAAGGGUCAUGCAGGGUAUGCGGGGGGGAGUGUACGGCCAGGCCACUCAAGGUGGCUGUUCUUUUGCUCUUUGUACAUCCCCUGCUCGACCAGUCCCUGCUUCACCUACACUCUGCUCACACGAACGUGCUUGGCCUCUGCCCCAGCUAGUGAUUGUUCUAGUCUUUAGGCCAGAACGGCUCCAGCUGCUAAUUUAUUAAAGGGAAAUAUCUGCCCUGGAGAUGGUUGUUAACCUGAGGGGCUGGGAGGGACCUGCCCCAGCUGCUAGUUUCCCUGGUAACCGAUG
Molecule: non-coding RNA, 2510 nt
Organism: Delphinapterus leucas (beluga whale)
Lineage: Eukaryota; Metazoa; Chordata; Mammalia; Artiodactyla; Monodontidae
Source: RefSeq, a predicted model, not a curated record